AGUGAACGCUGGCGGUAGGCCUAACACAUGCAAGUCGAACGGCAGCACAGUAAGAGCUUGCUCUUACGGGUGGCGAGUGGCGGACGGGUGAGGAAUACAUCGGAAUCUACUUUUUCGUGGGGGAUAACGUAGGGAAACUUACGCUAAUACCGCAUACGACCUACGGGUGAAAGCAGGAGAUCUUCGGACCUUUCGCGAUUGAAUGAGCCGAUGUCGGAUUAGCUAGUUGGCGGGGUAAAGGCCCACCAAGGCGACGAUCCGUAGCUGGUCUGAGAGGAUGAUCAGCCACACUGGAACUGAGACACGGUCCAGACUCCUACGGGAGGCAGCAGUGGGGAAUAUUGGACAAUGGGCGCAAGCCUGAUCCAGCCAUACCGCGUGGGUGAAGAAGGCCUUCGGGUUGUAAAGCCCUUUUGUUGGGAAAGAAAAGCAGCAGGUUAAUCCCCCGCUGUUCUGACGGUACCCAAAGAAUAAGCAACGGCUAACUUCGUG
This 492-nucleotide ribosomal RNA is filed under the name uncultured bacterium. RNAcentral's name for it is "partial 16S ribosomal RNA". It matches the Rfam family "Bacterial small subunit ribosomal RNA", at positions 29 to 507 of the family's 1533-position model. The record is from RNAcentral.